RNAcentral lists this unclassified non-coding RNA (260 nucleotides) under uncultured Knufia. RNAcentral describes it as "sequence contains ITS2". The stretch from base 1 to 52 matches the Rfam family "5.8S ribosomal RNA", at positions 103 to 154 of the family's 154-position model. The record is from RNAcentral. Lineage: Eukaryota; Fungi; Ascomycota; Eurotiomycetes; Chaetothyriales; Chaetothyriaceae.
AACGCACAUUGCGCCCACUGGUAUUCCGGUGGGCAUGCCUGUUCGAGCGUCAUUAUCCUCCCUCAAACCUCGGGUUUGGUGUUGGACCCAAGUUGUGUGAACAACUGGUCUCAAAGACAAUGACGGCGUCCGUGGGACCCUCGGUGCAACGAGCUUUUUAAACGAGCACGCGUCGAGUUUCAAGGACCUUCCGGGCCGGUCUCCUUCUUUUAUUUACAAAGGUUGACCUCGGAUCAGGUAGGAAUACCCGCUGAACUUAA